RNAcentral lists this transfer-messenger RNA (83 nucleotides) under Bdellovibrionales bacterium. RNAcentral's name for it is "partial transfer-messenger RNA". It matches the Rfam family "transfer-messenger RNA", at positions 1 to 83 of the family's 374-position model. Rfam says of the family: Bacterial tmRNA, also known as 10Sa RNA or SsrA, is named for its dual tRNA and mRNA-like properties. The record is from RNAcentral. Lineage: Bacteria; Pseudomonadati; Bdellovibrionota; Bdellovibrionia; Bdellovibrionales.
GGGGGUGUUUUGGCUUCGACGGGAUCCAAGAGAUUCUGGUAAGCACGUCGAGGGUUUCGCAGGCCUCGUAAAAAAGCGAAAAA